AUGCCCCAGCCUCCACUUGUCUGCCCCACAGCCAGCGCUCCCUGUGGGCCAGGUCGGACGCCUGCUUGGAGCCCUGGGGCCUUCCACCUGCGACCCCCUGGCUGCCAUCCGGCAGGGCGCUGUGGAGUGCAUCGAGGUGCUGCUGAGCCUCCCAGGAGCCAUGAGAUCCCCAGAGCCCAAGGGCCGCACCUGGGCCUCGUGGCUGCAUUGCAUUCAGCGGGACCUGCAGAGCAAGAGCACCAAGGAAGUGCGCGCCGCCUCCCUCCAACUGGCCAAGGUGGUCAGCCGCGCAUUGCGCUCCAAGGAAAUGGUGCCCUUCCUGCGCUCCUUGCUGGAGCAACUGAGGACCGUGAACGCCGCCUGCGACCAGGCCGUCCUUUGGUGGUUCGAGGUGGCCGCCAGGGAGCGAGGGACUGAUCUGAAGGACAAGGUAAGGCCAGGUGUAUGAAGGCCCCUCUGCAGGCCAGGUAAGGAAAGACCACCGGCCAGGGAUCUGAAGGUGACGACCCCCAGCUUAGGCAAAGGCCACCAAGAGCGGAGAGGGGAGGAGGAAACCUGUUAAUGUUUCCAUGGGUUUGAUCCUCAGGUGGGGCUGAAGGAAGCAUCAGCCGCUUCGUUGGUCUCGGGAUUUUGUCGACAGGAGCAAACAGGAACAGAAAGGCUGAGCUUUCCUCUCUUCUCCCUCCCAGGUCCGGGGUUUGGUGGCGGUCCUUUGCUCCUCCCUGCAGUGGGCCGAGGACCCCUCCCUGUGGCGCUCCUUGGCCCAGGCCCUCUGCGUGUUGGCGGAGCACCACUCUCGAGGGGUCUGUGCCUCCCUGGUGGAGCAGCCCCUUCUCCAGCCCAGGUGGGUGCAGGUGACCCCAAGGGCCCGGCCCUGCCAGGGGGCAGAGGGAGGCGGAGGCUUCAGGCAGCUCCCCCCCCCCGGGGCAGCCAGAAAGGGGUAGCCCACGGCUCAUCGGCUCAUCCAGGAUGGUUGUGGGUGGUUGUUUGCUUGUUCUAAAUCCAUU
This 1007-nucleotide long non-coding RNA is filed under the name Pogona vitticeps (central bearded dragon). Its description in RNAcentral is "lncRNA (ENSPVIG00000007611.1)". Lineage: Eukaryota; Metazoa; Chordata; Lepidosauria; Squamata; Agamidae. The record is from RNAcentral.